UAGGGACUCAUCCUCCUAAUGUUGCUGCUGUUUACCGAAACAUUGACAAGCUAUUUGCACUUCCUGUAGGUUAUGACCUGGUAAGACAGAGCAAAGCCAUUACGAAAUUUAAUAUUUACACUAGCUUUGUGUUUUAGAGCUUGGAGUUGAUAAAUAUCUUAAUCUUUUUUUGUCUGGAGGCCAGUGUAGUAUUUUGAAAAUGGAGUUAAUAUUGAGUCUCUGCAGGUAUGGAGGAAUUGUCUAGAUGACUACACCACACCGGUCUCUAUUUGGUAUCCGCGAGCACCUGAUGGAUUCUUCUCCCUGGGAUGUGUAGCUGUUGCGGGUUUUGAAGAGCCAGAAGCUGAUUUGGUACGUUGUGUGGCAGAAACAGUUGCAGAGGAGACAACAUUUGAGGAGCAGAAGGUAUGGUGUGCUCCAGAAUCAUAUCCGUG
RNAcentral lists this long non-coding RNA (434 nucleotides) under Gossypium barbadense (sea-island cotton). RNAcentral describes it as "long non-coding RNA (GBAR_LNC007612)". The record is from RNAcentral. Lineage: Eukaryota; Viridiplantae; Streptophyta; Magnoliopsida; Malvales; Malvaceae.